AAAAGAUUUAAGGCUAUACACUUUGACUUGAACUCAAAGGCAGGACGUUCGACUCGUCCAUCUUUUU
This 67-nucleotide transfer RNA is filed under the name Pyganodon grandis (giant floater mussel). RNAcentral describes it as "tRNA-Ser". Lineage: Eukaryota; Metazoa; Mollusca; Bivalvia; Unionida; Unionidae. The record is from RNAcentral.